CUGCAGCGCCGUCGGAAAGUUGCUCCGAGUAUUCUGCGGUGCUCAGUUGUGCAGGAAUUGCAAUUAGCCUGAUUUGCAUAUAUAAACAUCUUCAGCCUAUUCACGCCGCUCGCAGCCGAAGAAAGUGCUGAGAAGUCACUACAAGCUGAAACCAUCGCCCAGACUUUACAGCAGCCACCAGCGAACGCAUCCGGGAAUCCAUCAGUGAAAUGCACUCAUUGUCGCUAAUUUUUGUUAGCUCUUAAAGCAUACCAUUUAUCAGAUUCAUAGAACCAUAGGGUCACAGAAUAUUUGGGUUGGACUUCCACUAGACCAGGUCACUCCAAGCCCCAUCCAGCCUGGCCUUGAACACUUGCAGGGAUGGGGCAUCCACAGCUUCUCUGGGCAACCUGUGCCACUGUCUCACCACUCUCACAGUAAAAAUUUCUUUCUAAUAUGUAAUCUAAACAUCCCUUCUUUCAGUUUUAAGCCCGUACCGCUUGUCCUACCACUCCAAGGCCUGGUAAAAUGUCCCUCUCCAGAUCUCUUGUAGCCUCCCUUUAGAACAUCACUACAGGAAGAGAAUUCACUCUCACCGUAAUCACACCUGGCUCCAAAACUUGUGUAUGCCAUCUCUCUUGAUGAAAGGAUAAAUAUCCCUUGAAAACAGAGCGAUUAAGCAAAAUGCCUUGAUGAUUAAUCACUCAGGUUAUCCCUCUCCCUCCUUCCUGUCACCACCUCAAUAUCAUCCUCACUUGUUGCGUCUUGUUGGCUCUCACCAAGGUGCCCCAGCCCCGAAAACCCAAACCAGCUGGGAAGUGCGCAGAUGUUACAGAUUUCCAAUUUUUAGGGCCAUCCACUUGGCACAUCCACUCUAACAAAACCAGACUCACGUACAGCGACUCGAUCGCAGUGGCAGCUCAGAUUGUAAAGAAAACUGGCGAUCCAGCUGGGAGA
This is a long non-coding RNA of Myiozetetes cayanensis, 936 nucleotides long. RefSeq lists it as uncharacterized. The record is from RefSeq and is a predicted model, not a curated record. The transcript is spliced from 3 exons. Lineage: Eukaryota; Metazoa; Chordata; Aves; Passeriformes; Tyrannidae.